Long non-coding RNA from Myxocyprinus asiaticus (Chinese sucker), 2061 nucleotides. RefSeq lists it as uncharacterized. The record is from RefSeq and is a predicted model, not a curated record. The transcript is spliced from 3 exons. Lineage: Eukaryota; Metazoa; Chordata; Actinopteri; Cypriniformes; Catostomidae.
AGCACCUCGGGAGCUUUUCUUGAACAAUCGCCCACUGUGAGCAGCUCCGCUAAGGGUUUAUUACUCAGCUGUGCUUUCAGGAUCUUUCCGACCCAGGCCGGACUCUUCAUUCUGGGCCAUAUGUGGCAGAGUGGGCCCCUCUCCUCCUGGAAAUCAAUCCCCGGAGAAUGAUUAACAGGGUACUUUCCAAUUGCCGGGAAAAGAGGGGCGGGAAGAGAGAGAAGAUCUGUUCCAAAAACCAAGCGAGCUGCCUUGCCUGUUGCCUACAUAGGCAUCUGAGAUAUUUCAGAGUGAAUCAGGAUAUAAAACUAGAAAAGAUGUAGGCAAGGACUUGGCUUUAUCCAUCGUGAAUUGACUGGAUUGUGAAAAGUGGCCGUUACAUACCAGAAUGUAGCCAGUUGGUUGGAGGGGAGGAGUUGAAAAGUAAGAGGAAAGGGAUAUUGAUUCAGAGGCAGAGCAAGCAAGUAUUGAUCAGCAUGUUAUUUUAUCAAUAUAUUUUUGAGGCAUUGAUAUAUUAAAAUUAGCCAACAUUUAAAUUAGAAGCCUAAUUUGCAUGCUUUCCAACUCACUCAGUUGGCCUUUUGUCGGGCGUAAUAGAAUUGGGAGACCACAAGAGGGUGAUAUAACAUUUACUGAAGCCGGUCGCAGGUUGGAAAGGCACAGUCAUCACACACACAUGACGAGCUGAUGCAGCGCAGAAGAUGGCAUUCCAAAGCUACGAAGGUUUUUGAACUUCUUCAAGAAUGAACAAAGUGACGUUGAUGAGUUUGCAGACUCUCUCUUUCUGAGCUUCUGUAUGGGGGUGAUGUCAUCAUGUGAAACUGUCAUGGCAACAAAAUAAACCUCCCAGCAGCACAUAUGGAAUAUCUUUAUUUUCAAGUUCAGAAAAAGGAUGAAUGGGCGAAAAUGUCUAUAGAACUGCAGAACACCAUAAAGAGGUAAAGACCAGAACACAACAGUGAAGACUAUUAUAAACUAGCAUAUACCAAUGAAAACCACUGCAGUCAAGCAUAUACCCCUGCAGGGCACUGAAGACCACUACAAACCAGUACAGACCACCACAGAGACCCCUAUGGACCACUGGAAUAAAGACCAGCACAGAUUAGUAAAGACUAUUAUAAACCAGCAUAGACCAGUAAAGACCACUGCAGGCCAGUGAAGACAACUACAAACCAGCACAAACCAAUAAAGACCACUACAAUCCAGCACAAAGACCAGCACAAACCAGUAAAGACCACUACAGACCAGCAUAAACAAGUAAAGACCACUAUGGACCACCGCAAUAAAGACCAGUGAAGAUUAUACUAAACAAGCAUAGACCAGUAAGGACCACUGCAGACCAGUGAAGACAACUACAAACAAGUACAAACCAGUAAAGACCACUAAAGACCAGCACAAACCAGAAAAAGACAAUUACAGACCAGCACAAACCAGUAAAGACCUUUAAAGUCAGAAUAUCUGCGGAUUUAUCGGCCUCGGUGAAAUAUCGGUCGACCACUAUUAAAGACCAUUACAGACCAACACAAAUCAGUAAAGACCAUUACAGACCAGGACAAACCAAUAAAGACCACUAUGGACCACUGCAAUAAAGACCAGCAGAGAACAAUGAAGACUAUUAUAAACCAGCAUAGAGCAGUAAAGACCAAAGUAGGCCAGUGUAAACAUCUACAUACCAGCACAAACCAGUAAAAACCACUACAGACCAACACAAACCAAUAAAAACUACUGCUGAUCACUGCAAUAAAGACCAGCAGAGAUCAGUGAAGACUAUUCAAAACCAACAUAGACCAAUGCAGGCCAGUGCAAACCAUUAAAGACUCGGAUCCAGUGCGAGCCUCAAUCUCCUGACAGUUUGAACGACCAUGAUGAUUUGUGAAUCAGAGGAACUUUUGAUUCUGAUCCUCAAGUUUUUGAUUUUCAUGCGGUUCUGUUUAAAAGAGAUAUCUGCAUAUUUGCAGAUGGUAUAUAAUAGAAGUUUUAUUGAUAUUUGUCUUUUAUCAUUAGAAAAGUUACAGGGAAUUUUUGAGGAGAGACUGUUAGAAUAAGUGCUUCAGAGGAAGA